GAUGAACGCUGACAGAAUGCUUAACACAUGCAAGUCUUUGGCGAAGCUGUGCUUGCACAGCCUAGCCAAGGCGGACGGGUGAGUAACGCGUAAGGAACUUGCCCUGCAGUCAGGGAUAACAGACGGAAACGACUGAUAAGACCUGGUAAAGUCAGGCGGACUCAUGUCCUGCCUGAUGAAAAGAGAUGCUGCAGGAGAGCCUUGCGUCCUAUUAGCUUGUUGGUGGGGUAACGGCCCACCAAGGCGAUGAUAGGUAGCCGGCCUGAGAGGGUGGACGGCCACAAGGGGACUGAGAUACGGCCCUUACUCCUACGGGAGGCAGCAGUGGGGAAUAUUGGACAAUGGGGGCAACCCUGAUCCAGCAAUUCUGUGUGCACGAUGAAGGUUUUCGGAUUGUAAAGUGCUUUCAGCAGGGAAGAAAAAAAUGACGGUACCUGCAGAAGAAGCGACGGCUAAAUACGUG
RNAcentral lists this ribosomal RNA (463 nucleotides) under uncultured bacterium. RNAcentral's name for it is "partial 16S ribosomal RNA". It matches the Rfam family "Bacterial small subunit ribosomal RNA", at positions 28 to 507 of the family's 1533-position model. The record is from RNAcentral.